GGGUGCGAUCAUAUCAACACUGAUACACUGGAUCCCAUCAGAAUUCCGCAGUUAAGCGUAUUUGGGCGAGAGUAAUAAUAGAAUGGGUGAUUUCCUGAGAAGUUCUCAUGUUGCACCCC
RNAcentral lists this ribosomal RNA (119 nucleotides) under Macleaya cordata. Lineage: Eukaryota; Viridiplantae; Streptophyta; Magnoliopsida; Ranunculales; Papaveraceae. The record is from RNAcentral.